This 387-nucleotide long non-coding RNA is filed under the name Monodelphis domestica (gray short-tailed opossum). RNAcentral's name for it is "lncRNA (ENSMODG00000045579.1)". Lineage: Eukaryota; Metazoa; Chordata; Mammalia; Didelphimorphia; Didelphidae. The record is from RNAcentral.
CAGGUCUAUCUCAUAAGCAAGGAUCUGCUGUCAGUUGGCUACUGACAGUUUGGGCUGCUAUAGAAAACUGAUUUAAGGAGUGAGUGGUGGCUAGCCAUUACUUUAGGUAGACAGGGAGUUAGUGAAUAAUUUCUAGAUAGUGUAGGUUAGAUAGGCCUGGUGUUUUCCAAGCAAGAAGAAGCUGUCCUCAGAAAAGAGUUAGAGGUAGUUAUUAGGAAUUUUAGAUAGUAUUAGGAAUUUUAGGUAUAUUUAAAGGGUAUAAGCUGUGUGACCCUGGGAGAGUCACUUAACCCCCAUUGCCUACCUCUUACCACUCUUCUGCUUUGGAAUCAAUCCAAGAUGGAAGGCAGAAAUACUCAGAAGAGGAAAGAAGGAUCUGGACCCUUU